UACCGAGGUCUCAAGCGUUGUUCGGAUUCAUUGGGCGUAAAGGGUGCGUAGGUGGCGGGGUAAGUCUGGUGUGAAAUCUCGGGGCUCAACCCCGAAACUGCACUGGAUACUGCCUUGCUCGAGUACUGGAGAGGAGAUUGGAAUUUACGGUGUAGCAGUGAAAUGCGUAGAUAUCGUAAGGAAGACCAGUGGCGAAGGCGAAUCUCUGGACAGUUACUGACACUGAGGCACGAAGGCCAGGGGAGCAAACGGG
This 253-nucleotide ribosomal RNA is filed under the name uncultured bacterium. RNAcentral's name for it is "partial 16S ribosomal RNA". It matches the Rfam family "Bacterial small subunit ribosomal RNA", at positions 524 to 776 of the family's 1533-position model. The record is from RNAcentral.